AAGUCGUAACAAGGUUUCCGUAGGUGAACCUGCGGAAGGAUCAUUAACACUUACCUGUUCAUGCUUGUAACAAAGCUGUGAACAUGUAUACCAACACAACCUCUGUGCUCCCUUUCUUUUUUCCACACCUUUUUAACCCAUACACAUAGAAAUAUUCAAAUUCAGUAUGUUGCUUAACCGCACCAUAUGUUGUUUAGUUUAAUGAAUACUAUUUCAAAUGUAGUGUUAAUUCACUUACAUUUGAUAUAUGUAUUUGUGACACACAACUCUUAACAAUGGAUAUCUUGGCUCUC
RNAcentral lists this unclassified non-coding RNA (293 nucleotides) under fungal sp. Its description in RNAcentral is "partial internal transcribed spacer region". The stretch from base 1 to 46 matches the Rfam family "Eukaryotic small subunit ribosomal RNA", at positions 1786 to 1831 of the family's 1831-position model. The record is from RNAcentral. Lineage: Eukaryota; Fungi.